GCUAUAAUGCAGUCGAGCGACAGAUAAGGAGCUUGCUCCUUUGACGUUAGCGGCGGACGGGUGAGUAACACGUGGAUAACCUACCUAUAAGACUGGGAUAACUUCGGGAAACCGGAGCUAAUACCGGAUAACAUAUUGAACCGCAUGGUUCAAUAGUGAAAGGCGGCUUUGCUGUCACUUAUAGAUGGAUCCGCGCCGUAUUAGCUAGUUGGUAAGGUAACGGCUUACCAAGGCAACGAUACGUAGCCGACCUGAGAGGGUGAUCGGCCACACUGGAACUGAGACACGGUCCAGACUCCUACGGGAGGCAGCAGUAGGGAAUCUUCCGCAAUGGGCGAAAGCCUGACGGAGCAACGCCGCGUGAGUGAUGAAGGUCUUCGGAUCGUAAAACUCUGUUAUCAGGGAAGAACAAAUGUGUAAGUAACUGUGCACAUCUUGACGGUACCUGAUCAGAAAGCCACGGCUAACUACGUGCCAGCAGCCGCGGUAAUACGUAGGUGGCAAGCGUUAUCCGGAAUUAUUGGGCGUAAAGCGCGCGUAGGCGGUUUUUUAAGUCUGAUGUGAAAGCCCACGGCUCAACCGUGGAGGGUCAUUGGAAACUGGAAAACUUGAGUGCAGAAGAGGAAAGUGGAAUUCCAUGUGUAGCGGUGAAAUGCGCAGAGAUAUGGAGGAACACCAGUGGCGAAGGCGACUUUCUGGUCUGUAACUGACGCUGAUGUGCGAAAGCGUGGGGAUCAAACAGGAUUAGAUACCCUGGUAGUCCACGCCGUAAACGAUGAGUGCUAAGUG
This 789-nucleotide ribosomal RNA is filed under the name Staphylococcus warneri. RNAcentral describes it as "bacterial SSU rRNA". It matches the Rfam family "Bacterial small subunit ribosomal RNA", at positions 46 to 822 of the family's 1533-position model. Lineage: Bacteria; Bacillati; Bacillota; Bacilli; Caryophanales; Staphylococcaceae. The record is from RNAcentral.